Molecule: non-coding RNA, 670 nt
Organism: Onthophagus taurus
Lineage: Eukaryota; Metazoa; Arthropoda; Insecta; Coleoptera; Scarabaeidae
Source: RefSeq, a predicted model, not a curated record
CAUUAUUUAUAUAUAUUUUUUUUAAUUAGCGUUUAGAUCCUGAAAUAGCAAGUAAUGUGUGUCAAUUAUUUUUAUGGGCUCCAAGUAGCUGGAUGAAAUCAGGACGGACUAAAAUACCAACAAGUGCUGAGAUUUUAGAAUGGUUAUUAUGUAUGACAACGAAAGUUUUGUGUGAGGGUCGAUGUAAUUCUCCACUAAACAAAACCGUCCCUCAAGAAACGAGCGCUAUUUAUAAAGUUGGAAGGCGAACUUAUCCCGAGUACUUAUUAAUUUCGAGCUUUUUAUGUAGAGCUAAACUUUCUAAUAUCAAAUCUGCUUUAUCCUGGAUACAGAAUAAUGUUUGAUUUGAAACAGUUAAUAAAUUUGAAAGUAAUAAAAUUGUAAGUUAAAGGAUUUAAUUUUGUAAUAAACAAAAUUAUCUUGUUUAAUAAUUACAUUAUUAAUUUUGUUUCUUAAGUGUUUAAUUUAAUCGCAAGUUAUUUAAAAAUCUUAUUAUUAAGGUUAGAAGUUAAUUUCGUUGUACUGGAAGUGAUGUGAUAUGAAAAAGAUGGUUUAAAGUAUGUAAAUAAAUGAUUUUAAUCUUAUCAAAUAGAUUAUGAAAAAAGCAUCUAAAUAAUCUGUAUAUUUUUGGUUGAAGUUAAAAUAAAGUUUAUUUGUCUAAAAAAUUAAA